RNAcentral lists this ribosomal RNA (483 nucleotides) under uncultured bacterium. RNAcentral's name for it is "partial 16S ribosomal RNA". It matches the Rfam family "Bacterial small subunit ribosomal RNA", at positions 28 to 507 of the family's 1533-position model. The record is from RNAcentral.
GACGAACGCUGGCGGCGUGCUUAACACAAGCAAGUCGAACGCUGAAGCUCAGCUUUUGUUGGGUGGAUGAGUGGCGAACGGGUGAGUAACACGUGAGUAACCUGCCCCCUUCUUUGGGAUAACGCCCGGAAACGGGUGCUAAUACUGGAUAUUCACUGGUCUUCGCAUGGGGGUUGGUGGAAAGGGUUUUUCUGGUGGGGGAUGGGCUCGCGGCCUAUCAGCUUGUUGGUGGGGUGAUGGCCUACCAAGGCUUUGACGGGUAGCCGGCCUGAGAGGGUGACCGGUCACAUUGGGACUGAGAUACGGCCCAGACUCCUACGGGAGGCAGCAGUGGGGAAUAUUGCACAAUGGGCGCAAGCCUGAUGCAGCGACGCCGCGUGAGGGAUGGAGGCCUUCGGGUUGUGAACCUCUUUCGCUCAUGGUCAAGCCACAACAAUGGUUGUGGUGAGGGUAGUGGGUAAAGAAGCGCCGGCUAACUACGUG